Molecule: ribosomal RNA, 229 nt
Filed under: uncultured Alteromonas sp.
Lineage: Bacteria; Pseudomonadati; Pseudomonadota; Gammaproteobacteria; Alteromonadales; Alteromonadaceae
Description: partial 16S ribosomal RNA
Rfam family: Bacterial small subunit ribosomal RNA
Source: RNAcentral
ACAUCCCGAGAACUUACCAGAGAUGGUGUGUUGCCUUCGGGAACUCUGAGACAGGUGCUGCAUGGCUGUCGUCAGCUCGUGUCGUGAGAUGUUGGGUUAAGUCCCGCAACGAGCGCAACCCUUGUCCUUUGUUGCCAUCAUUUCGUUGGGCACUCUCAAGGGAAAGCGCGUGAAUAACCGGAGGAAAGGGGGGAUGAAAUCCAAUCCUCCAGGGCCUUUACCAGUGGGG